UACGUAGGGUGCAAGCGUUAAUCGGAAUUACUGGGCGUAAAGCGUGCGCAGGCGGUUUUGUAAGACAGGCGUGAAAUCCCCGGGCUCAACCUGGGAAUGGCGCUUGUGACUGCAAAGCUGGAGGGCGGCAGAGGGGGAUGGAAUUCCGCGUGUAGCAGUGAAAUGCGUAGAUAUGCGGAGGAACACCGAUGGCGAAGGCAAUCCCCUGGGCCUGCACUGACGCUCAUGCACGAAAGCGUGGGGAGCAAACAGG
This 253-nucleotide ribosomal RNA is filed under the name uncultured bacterium. RNAcentral's name for it is "partial 16S ribosomal RNA". It matches the Rfam family "Bacterial small subunit ribosomal RNA", at positions 524 to 776 of the family's 1533-position model. The record is from RNAcentral.